CUAUAAAAGUAGACCAUGGAGAGGGGAGCACGUAGAGAGGCACAGCACUUUAUCCACAUCUGUAUAAAUACGAGCCAUCCCUUCAGUUAAGAUCAUCUUUCAUGCCGUAUCUGUAUAUGUAUUUGCCAUUGAUUACUACAAAACACCUCAGCCCACUUGAAAAUCUCCUGAGAAAAUAAAGGAAAAGGGCAAUGGUAGCAGUAGUAGCAAACACCCCACCUCUUUAUUUCUGCUCUUUUUGCCAGAUUUGCUGAGAUCUUCUAUCUUGCUCUAUCACUCACUCCUUUUCUCUGACUCUCAUGAGGAGAGCGACACAUCCCGUCCUCUCUAACGGGGCUCGUCUUCCGUGAUCUCUGCUCUUUCCAAUUUUUACUUUCCCACCUUUCAAAAUAGUACUAGUAAACUUCCCUUCGUUUUUGCUUUUCUUCUCUUUUUCCCUUCUUGUUCCCAGAGUUCUAUAACUUGUUUCUCUUUCAAGAUGCAACUUGCAUGAAUAGGGUUUGAAAAUGGGGUUGAUGCAUUCAGCAGUGGGAUCUAACUCGCCUUCAAGAAGUCUCAGGUGCGAGGGGGCACAUCUCCUGUUUACAGAAAAUAUGUCUUUCUCUGCAUGAUCUACGUGAGUUUGAUGUCUAACUAUAUCGUUUUUUGGUCUUAUGCCCAUCUUUUCUGCAUGUGGUCAUUUUAGUUAUCUCUUUAUAUUGUUUUUAUUUUCUCUCGCUUGACCUCUUCCCUUGACAUUCUGUGCUCACUCACUGGUUAGAGGAUGUAUACAUGUAUGGUCUUCCUGAGUCUAGGGUUGGGGUUUACUGCAGAUGAUGCAUCCAUCUUGGAGAAUGCAAUGUCUAUACUCUUAGAUCAGCAAUAAUUUUAUUAUAAAUUAAAAAAGAAAAGUCUGAUUUAGAUUUACUAAUUUGAUUUUAAGUUGUUUGCCGUCUCUCCUACGAAGCAAUCAACGUUAAAAGGUACUACUACUAGUAACUGCUUAAUACCCUUCGUCUGGCACUAAAUAGAUCUAGACUGCCUGCCCUUGAAUUUCUUAUCUAAUUCCUAUUUCAGAAGAAGAGAAUGCAUUUUGAUUAUGCCAUUUCUAUAUUUUUCAGUUUCUUCAGUAAAGUCUUCUCUUUCAGAUAGCUUACUUGUUGUCUAUGAUCCUACCAUGUCUAAUGAGAUCAUUAAUUUCCUAGGCCGUAAAGAAUCUGUAUCAGUGAUAUUAAUGCUAAAAUCCAAUUAUCAAGCAUUUAACACGAUCAUAGUCCAUUGGCUAUCCAAUGCCAAUUUCUCCUGCCCCAGAGAUAAGAAUCAUUACCGUAUAAGAGGGAGAAGGGGGAAUCAAAGAAACCAGAUUGUGCUUUAGAUUAUAGUGGGCACUAAGAAACACAUAGAGAGUCGUUCUUCCUUCAAGUUAAAGUUACAGAAAAUACUUGUAAAAGUUAUAAAGACUGUGACAACCGGGAGCUAGAUUAGAGGACCACAAAAUCUGCUGUUUGGCUAGAGCAUAAUUCUACCUUGAUAGUUAAGCUAUCGUUUCCUUGAGUUCAUGCUAAUAACAUUAUCUAGUGCAUCAAAAGCAGCUAUUGUGUGAUAAUCUAUAUUGAUGACUUGUAUGCUGGGAUUUUUGCUAUUGGAGUUAUCCUUGUUCCCAACAGCCUUUGGCCAUUGUGAUUGCUGGCUGCAUUGCCAAAAAUUAUACGAGGGAGCUUUCUUCAGUCCACUCAUGGGUGGGCGGAGGGAUUGAAUUAGCUGCCGACUCAUUCAUUCAAACACAAUAGAAAGGAUCAUGGGAUUGUGCUACUGUGAAUGUGUGAAUGAUGCGGGAGGUAAACCACAUCCUUCUCUUCUCUGUGCUUGGACUGAAGGGAGCUCCCUUUCAUGGAUUUCUUCUAUUGUGUUACCCAUAGCUUUAUUCGAAAUUCUGUGUUGGAAGAGGAUUCUCCUAUUCUUCUAUCAAUCAUCGCCGGAAGUACAUUGCAAAUGAUUCGACCAAAUUGCAGGAAUGCAGGGUUGAGGACGAAUUUGCCUCCGGUAUGGUUUGCAAGGCCGGCUUCCACCGUGACAUAGGGUACCUUGAAUCAUCCUUAUCCUUGGUUGUGAUGUCCUUAUUCCCCGCCAGGCCGGUUUUUGUGCCAUUUUCCUUGGGCAGAUUCUUAUCAUUUCUUCCGCUGCAAACAAUUGAAGAUUUGGGGUUUCUUGAUGCUGCUAAUUUAAGGAGGCUGUCGUAGGUUUCAUCAUCCAAGGCUAGCCCACGCGGCAGUAAAAAGUAAAGCUGAUUGCAGCUUAGCUGGAAGGAUUCUGGGAGUACAGUUUUGUCUGAAAAGCAUCUGAUGACUUUGUGGUAGGGGUAUGCUAACAGAAUGUCUUUUACUCGGAUGCCUUGUUUGAAUUUGAGCAAUUCACCGUCUUCUUUGAUGACCGGAACUUGCUUGUUGACGGUUGAAGACGGAUCACAAAUGCAAGAUAAUGAACUCCCCAUUUGGUUUAGCAGUUUAGCUAUAGAGAUUCUGCAGACUUUUUUUUUUUUGCAUUUGGAGAGGGGGGAUUUCAUGUGGGCAUAUCAAGGUUUUGUCUUUCGAUUUAUCCUAAGAACCUGGAAAGGGUAUAGAUUCGGUGGAGAAACAUAAAAAGAGUCUUGUAUAGGUGUAUAUGCUUAUUCUCGUACUUUAGGUUAGCGCCAAAAUGUCUGUGUUGGAACUCUCUAACCCUCAAAACGACUUUUCGCAAGUAACCAAAUGGGUGUGUAUUGAACAAGAAGAAGGUUUUGUUUUUCGUUAUGAUUGGCAUAUUAUUGCA
Coffea arabica (coffee) is the source of this 2787-nucleotide non-coding RNA. The record is from RefSeq and is a predicted model, not a curated record. NCBI's taxonomy places the organism in Eukaryota, Viridiplantae, Streptophyta, Magnoliopsida, Gentianales, Rubiaceae.